AUACUUACCUGGCAGGGGAGAUACCAUGAUCACGAAGGUGGUUUUCCCCAGGGCGAGGCUUAUCCAUUGCACUCCGGAUGUGCUGACCCCUGCGAUUUCCCCAAAUGUGGGAAACUCGACUGCAUAAUUUGUGGUAGUGGGGGACUGCGUUCGCGCUUUCCCCUG
This 165-nucleotide small nuclear RNA is filed under the name Macaca mulatta (Rhesus monkey). Its description in RNAcentral is "U1 spliceosomal RNA (ENSMMUG00000049803.1)". It matches the Rfam family "U1 spliceosomal RNA". Rfam says of the family: U1 is a small nuclear RNA (snRNA) component of the spliceosome (involved in pre-mRNA splicing). Lineage: Eukaryota; Metazoa; Chordata; Mammalia; Primates; Cercopithecidae. The record is from Rfam by way of RNAcentral.